GGACAACCUGCCCUCGGAGAGGGGAGAUAACCCCGGGAAAACUGGGGCUAAACCCCCAUAGGUGAUGGAUACUGGAAUGUUCCAUCACCGAAAGUCCGCAAGGAGCCCGAGGAUGGGUCUGCGGCGGAUUAGGUAGUUGGUGGGGUAACGGCCCACCAAGCCUAAGAUCCGUACGGGCCAUGGGAGUGGGAGCCCGGAGAUGGACCCUGAGACAAGGGUCCAGGCCCUACGGGGCGCAGCAGGCGCGAAACCUCCGCAAUGCGGGAAACCGCGACGGGGUCAGCCGGAGUGCCGAUGCUUGCAUCGGCUGUCGGGGAGCCUAAAAAGCUCCCCAUAGCAAGGGCCGGGCAAGGCCGGUGGCAGCCGCCGCGGUAAUACCGGCGGCCCGAGUGGCGGCCACUAUUAUUGGGCUUAAAGCGUCCGUAGCCGGGUUGGUUAGUCUCCCGGGAAAUCUGGCCGCUUAACGGUCAGAAUUCCGGGAGAUACUGCCAGCCUAGGGACCGGGAGAGGCCGAGGGUAUUCCCGGAGUAGGGGUGAAAUCCUAUAAUCCCGGGAGGACCACCUGUGGCGAAGGCGCUCGGCUGGAACGGGUCCGACGGUGAGGGACGAAGGCCAGGGGAGCAAACCGGAUUAGAUACCCGGGUAGUCCUGGCUGUAAACGAUGCGGACUUUGUGUCGGACAAGCUAUGAGCUUGUCCGGUG
RNAcentral lists this ribosomal RNA (702 nucleotides) under uncultured archaeon. RNAcentral's name for it is "bacterial SSU rRNA". It matches the Rfam family "Archaeal small subunit ribosomal RNA", at positions 102 to 800 of the family's 1478-position model. The record is from RNAcentral.